UAUCCUAUUAGUAUAGACCGUACGGCUGACUUCCAAUCAGCAAACCCCAAAUAGAAUGGGAUAGGAUAA
RNAcentral lists this transfer RNA (69 nucleotides) under Schizocardium brasiliense. RNAcentral's name for it is "tRNA-Gly". Lineage: Eukaryota; Metazoa; Hemichordata; Enteropneusta; Spengelidae. The record is from RNAcentral.